This 477-nucleotide ribosomal RNA is filed under the name uncultured bacterium. RNAcentral's name for it is "partial 16S ribosomal RNA". It matches the Rfam family "Bacterial small subunit ribosomal RNA", at positions 30 to 507 of the family's 1533-position model. The record is from RNAcentral.
AUUGAACGCUGGCGGCAUGCCUUACACAUGCAAGUCGAACGGUAACAGGUUAAGCUGACGAGUGGCGAACGGGUGAGUAAUACAUCGGAACGUGCCCAGUAGUGGGGGAUAGCCCGGCGAAAGCCGGAUUAAUACCGCAUACGACCUAUGGGUGAAAGGGGGGGAUCGCAAGACCUCUCGCUAUUGGAGCGGCCGAUGUCAGAUUAGCUAGUUGGUGGGGUAAAAGCUCACCAAGGCGACGAUCUGUAGCUGGUCUGAGAGGACGACCAGCCACACUGGGACUGAGACACGGCCCAGACUCCUACGGGAGGCAGCAGUGGGGAAUUUUGGACAAUGGGCGCAAGCCUGAUCCAGCCAUGCCGCGUGCGGGAAGAAGGCCUUCGGGUUGUAAACCGCUUUUGUCAGGGAAGAAAUCCUUUGGGUUAAUACCUCGGGGGGAUGACGGUACCUGAAGAAUAAGCACCGGCUAACUACGUG